AUUGAACGCUGGCGGCAGGCCUAACACAUGCAAGUCGAGCGGAUGAAGGGAGCUUGCUCCUGGAUUCAGCGGCGGACGGGUGAGUAAUGCCUAGGAAUCUGCCUGGUAGUGGGGGAUAACGUCCGGAAACGGGCGCUAAUACCGCAUACGUCCUGAGGGAGAAAGUGGGGGAUCUUCGGACCUCACGCUAUCAGAUGAGCCUAGGUCGGAUUAGCUAGUUGGUGGGGUAAAGGCCUACCAAGGCGACGAUCCGUAACUGGUCUGAGAGGAUGAUCAGUCACACUGGAACUGAGACACGGUCCAGACCCCUACGGGAGGCAGCAGUGGGGAAUAUUGGACAAUGGGCGAAAGCCUGAUCCAGCCAUGCCGCGUGUGUGAAGAAGGUCUUCGGAUUGUAAAGCACUUUAAGUUGGGAGGAAGGGCAGUAAGUUAAUACCUUGCCGUUUUGACGUUACCAACAGAAUAAGCACCGGCUAACUUCGUG
RNAcentral lists this ribosomal RNA (484 nucleotides) under uncultured bacterium. Its description in RNAcentral is "partial 16S ribosomal RNA". It matches the Rfam family "Bacterial small subunit ribosomal RNA", at positions 30 to 507 of the family's 1533-position model. The record is from RNAcentral.